UACGUAGGGGGCAAGCGUUAUCCGGAUUUACUGGGUGUAAAGGGAGCGUAGACGGCAGGGCAAGUCUGGAGUGAAAGGCAGGGGCCCAACCCCUGGACUGCUCUGGAAACUGUCCGGCUGGAGUGCAGGAGAGGUUAGUGGAAUUCCUAGUGUAGCGGUGAAAUGCGUAGAUAUUAGGAGGAACACCAGUGGCGAAGGCGGCUUACUGGACUGUAACUGACGUUGAGGCUCGAAAGCGUGGGGAGCAAACAGG
RNAcentral lists this ribosomal RNA (253 nucleotides) under uncultured bacterium. Its description in RNAcentral is "partial 16S ribosomal RNA". It matches the Rfam family "Bacterial small subunit ribosomal RNA", at positions 524 to 776 of the family's 1533-position model. The record is from RNAcentral.